This 1346-nucleotide ribosomal RNA is filed under the name uncultured bacterium. RNAcentral's name for it is "bacterial SSU rRNA". It matches the Rfam family "Bacterial small subunit ribosomal RNA", at positions 28 to 1381 of the family's 1533-position model. The record is from RNAcentral.
GACGAACGCUGGCGGCGUGCUUAACACAUGCAAGUCGAACGGAAAGGCCCUGCUUUUGUGGGGUGCUCGAGUGGCGAACGGGUGAGUAACACGUGAGUAACCUGCCCUUGACUUUGGGAUAACUUCAGGAAACUGGGGCUAAUACCGGAUAGGAGCUCCUGCUGCAUGGUGGGGGUUGGAAAGUUUCGGCGGUUGGGGAUGGACUCGCGGCUUAUCAGCUUGUUGGUGGGGUAGUGGCUUACCAAGGCUUUGACGGGUAGCCGGCCUGAGAGGGUGACCGGCCACAUUGGGACUGAGAUACGGCCCAGACUCCUACGGGAGGCAGCAGUGGGGAAUAUUGCACAAUGGGCGGAAGCCUGAUGCAGCAACGCCGCGUGCGGGAUGACGGCCUUCGGGUUGUAAACCGCUUUCGCCUGUGACGAAGCGUGAGUGACGGUAAUGGGUAAAGAAGCACCGGCUAACUACGUGCCAGCAGCCGCGGUGAUACGUAGGGUGCGAGCGUUGUCCGGAUUUAUUGGGCGUAAAGGGCUCGUAGGUGGUUGAUCGCGUCGGAAGUGUAAUCUUGGGGCUUAACCCUGAGCGUGCUUUCGAUACGGGUUGACUUGAGGAAGGUAGGGGAGAAUGGAAUUCCUGGUGGAGCGGUGGAAUGCGCAGAUAUCAGGAGGAACACCAGUGGCGAAGGCGGUUCUCUGGGCCUUUCCUGACGCUGAGGAGCGAAAGCGUGGGGAGCGAACAGGCUUAGAUACCCUGGUAGUCCACGCUGUAAACGGUGGGUACUAGGUGUGGGGUCCAUUCCACGGGUUCCGUGCCGUAGCUAACGCUUUAAGUACCCCGCCUGGGGAGUACGGCCGCGAGGCUAAAACUCAAAGGAAUUGACGGGGCCCCGCACAAGCGGCGGAGCAUGCGGAUUAAUUCGAUGCAACGCGUAGAACCUUACCUGGGUUUGACAUGGAUCGGGAGCGCUCAGAGAUGGGUGUGCCUCUUUUGGGGUCGGUUCACAGGUGGUGCAUGGCUGUCGUCAGCUCGUGUCGUGAGAUGUUGGGUUAAGUCCCGCAACGAGCGCAACCCUUGUUCACUGUUGCCAGCACGUUAUGGUGGGGACUCAGUGGAGACCGCCGGGGUCAACUCGGAGGAAGGUGGGGAUGACGUCAAGUCAUCAUGCCCCUUAUGUCCAGGGCUUCACGCAUGCUACAAUGGCUGGUACAGAGAGUGGCGAGCCUGUGAGGGUGAGCGAAUCUCGGAAAGCCGGUCUCAGUUCGGAUUGGGGUCUGCAACUCGACCUCAUGAAGUCGGAGUCGCUAGUAAUCGCAGAUCAGCAACGCUGCGGUGAAUACGUUCCCGGGGCU